Molecule: long non-coding RNA, 805 nt
Organism: Papaver somniferum (opium poppy)
Lineage: Eukaryota; Viridiplantae; Streptophyta; Magnoliopsida; Ranunculales; Papaveraceae
Exons: 3
Source: RefSeq, a predicted model, not a curated record
GAGAUUUGUUAGUACUCCAAGUCCUAGAGAGGUUUGUUACCAUAGAAACAGAGAUAUCCCAAAUUGAAGUAUCUAUUCAGAGCAAUGAGUCUUCAAACACAAAUGAAGGAAAUCAUUGGGAUCGCUACGAAUUCUCCCUUUUCUUCUUCUUUUUUUUCUUUUUUAUAUUUCUUUACUUAUUUGAAGUUAAAAGAUCCUUCAAUCAUAUCUCAAUUCUAUCCACUUCUUUAUACAAAUAUAUAUAUAUAUAUAUAUAUAUAUAUAUAUUUUGUAAUUGGUAGAUCCAAAUCCCUAUUCCACUCAUAUAGAACAUAGGGUUAACUUAUAAUUGUUCGUCUUGGAUUCAACAGGGACUGUGCCGGUGGUUGACGUCAAUGCUAAGAAAGAAAAUUCCCUUAUAAGCCAAAAGAAGCACCUAAUGAGUCCGCUGAUGAAUUUGCAGAAGGAGAAAACUCUAAGAAAAAAGGAAAAAAAAUCGAUGUCGAAGAAAAAGAAUACAAUGAGAAGGAAAAGAGCACGAUCCAGAAGGAGGGACAAUCAGGUGAAACACCUACCCGAUGCAGAGAAAUUAGCUUUGUUUUACAGGUAUCAGAAGUUUCUCCUACUGGAUGUACCUGUGAUGAAGCGUGGGUAACCGUCAGGAACAUACUAUGAGAAGCCUGGAUGUUAUUUACUGUACCCAAUUAGGUGGUUCAAUUAUGUUCAAUUAAUAUGCAUUCCCAAAUUGCAAUCUGUUUUUACUGUGCCCAAUCAACUGGUUCAAUUAUGUUCAAAUAGUAAUUUAGUAUGCACUUCCAAAUUGUAA